AGGUAAGAAUACAUGGUGCAAGUGGUAAAUUCUUAUCUUUGGUAUUUAUGUAAAUUUGGCAUGAAAUACUAUAUGGCCUUCGGCUCGAAUUAUAUGUUAAAUCCUUCGGGAUGAAUCGUCAGGUCAAGAAAAGAAGUUAAAUCCUAUGGGAUGGACCUUUGUGUCAAUAAUAUAUAAAUCCUAGGGAAUAUAGGAAUUCUUAUGAAAUUUCUUGAACGAUUGGAUGUUUCGACCAGUAUGCUCUAAAUCUAAGAAAUGUCGGUGUGCCAUGUCAUGUCAGUUUUAUAUUUAUAUCAUGUGAAUAAGAAUGUGUUCGUAUUCUUAUUGAGUGUUUUCAAAAUACUCACUCUUACAAUAUUUUCAGAUGAGAACGGGUCGUGUGGACACGUGGAAGAUUGACAGAGUGAUAUUAAUGGGGUCGUCAAGUAAAUUUUCUAGAAAGAUAAUUGUCCACUUUUAUUUGAAGAAUAUCGCAUGCAUAUUAUUUAAUAUGUUGUUCAAGCAUUUGAUAUGUUAUGUUAAAUUUUAAAUUAAUAAUUUAAAAUCAAGUAUUUUCGAUAUAUUUCCGCUUAAAUUAGAUAGAGAAAAGUUUUGGUAGCACCUCUAGCUUAUUUUAAUUUAAAAAUAAUAUAAUAA
RNAcentral lists this long non-coding RNA (636 nucleotides) under Olea europaea (common olive). Its description in RNAcentral is "long non-coding RNA (OEUR_LNC004414)". Lineage: Eukaryota; Viridiplantae; Streptophyta; Magnoliopsida; Lamiales; Oleaceae. The record is from RNAcentral.